AACAUCAUCUAUACAUCUCCGCAGAGUGUGCAUGAAGAACCAGGAAAACAUAAUCUAUACAUCUCCACAGAGUGUGCAUGAAGACAGAAUCAAAACCAAAGAUUGAUCAGGAAGUUCAUAAUUCCCGCACGGCAGGAUCAUUGACUACAGAAUACUCAGCUGUAUUGUGACACAACAGGACGCACUCCAACCUCUGAUUAAGAAUCGUGAACAAAUGGGUCAUUUUGUUAUGAACAAGCCAGAAGACAAUCAAAUAACUGGCCAAGUGGAAGUGGCUCAAGUGUUGGUACCAACUACAGAUGAACAUAUAGAUGAAGAGUCAGACGUCAACAUGGACGAUGACCAGUCGACGUUGUACCAACCAUAUUUUCCAGACCAUUGAACCAGUCAUGUGACACCACACUGAGAAAGGGGAUGCAAAGCAGUGGUUUGUACCAAAAGCCCCCUCUGGAUUGUGAUCUG
This is a long non-coding RNA of Oncorhynchus keta (chum salmon), 462 nucleotides long. RefSeq lists it as uncharacterized. The record is from RefSeq and is a predicted model, not a curated record. Lineage: Eukaryota; Metazoa; Chordata; Actinopteri; Salmoniformes; Salmonidae. The transcript is spliced from 3 exons.